AGCAAUGUCAAUCAUUUUAAUUGCUUCAAACAUAUUAAUUUUUUUGAGUGUUUCAUUUAUACCGACAUCUUCAUCAAUAUCAACAAUUAGUCUAUUAUUUAGAAGAUCGGCGAAGUUAUCUUUAAAGCAUUUGAUUAUUCCAGCAUCCAUUGGCUGUGUUCGUGGUGUAGUAUUGGCAGUUCGACGAGCCAUUGAUUGAAAAUAUCUUGUGUCAUCCAAGCUGAUUUGUUACCAAGGUAAUCCAACUCAACAUCAUCUAAAUUUUGAUUUUGAAAACAUCUUGGUUUUUUACUUUUCCCUAUCACCAAUGGACGAACUUUAAUUCCUGUCAUGGAAGUUCCAAGUAAAACUGUAACUCUGGAUUUAUCAUCUUUAUGACCAAUUGUGUUAACAUUUUCACCCUUUGGACAAAUUGUUUUUUUCCUUAGACUUUUUAUAAAUACACCAGUUUCAUCAAAGUUAUAAAUUUGACUAGCAUCUCUUUCAAUAGGUGAAUUGACCUUAUCAAGUCGACAUUUCUUUGGACCUGCAGUACUGAUGGCGGAGAUGAUUUCUUCUUGUCUUUUGAUGAUAUAACUUACUGAUGACUGGACAAUCUAGCUAAACGUUUAAUAGUCAUACUGAUAGACAAAAGUAGAACAUUUUAAGUUCGACAACGACAAUGUGUUUUGAAAAACAGUAGAUGGCGUAUCUUCAAAAAUAUCGAAAAAGCGUGGAUUUACUGUAUGUUUAUAAUAGAUCAAUAAAUGUACAGAUGAAAACACAUCUGAAAAAACAGAUUUAGUACACAAAUUAGAUUAAAACUAAACAACUGGAUUUGAUGCUCUGACAGCUGUGAUAUGAUUGCGAACUACUUCGAACGCUUCAGCCGAAUAUGUUUGAUGGACAAGCGCUUCUAAAAAUUUUUUCCAAUUGGUGUUUUUAUGGUCUGUAGCAAAUUACCAUGGCGCAAGUCUUCUACUAAAUCAAAAACUGCUCCAUAAUAGGUGUGGUCAGAAGCAUUGGGUUUUGGCAGCUUGAUGUCUCCUUUAUAUUCAAAAUUUCUAGAUGUGCACAAAUAAUCAAUUUCGUAUCCUCGAUCGACGUCCUUGAAAUUCGCGGGAAGCAAACCACUGGCUAGCAGCAAAUAACACAAAACCGUUUGCGGUUUGGUUGCUCUAGGUUUUUUGAGGUUGACUCCUCUACCAUAAUAUAAAUUUUUUAUAUUAAAAUCACCAGCUAAAACAAUGCCAUCGACGGCUCUUUUUCUAUUGUUUGCUGCAUCCCUCCCACCAGCCUGGAGUCCUAUAGCAGCACCAAAAGCAGCGAAUAAAUAAUAAGCUUUGUCAGGUACAUUCUUGCAUAAUUGAUGGCAAUUUAUGAUGGCGAUUCUUUUUUUCCGUGCCUCACUAUAGCGACCAGAAGAUCACCACGUCCUGUAUCGAAGGUAUCGAUAUAACCAGGGAAGAAUUGCCUUUUAAAGCAGGUCAGGAUGUUUCCAACAUUUCUAUAUUUCCAGGCAGCACGGUUCUUGCGUGAGCGGUUAGCUGCUUCGUCCAUUUUUGCAGCAUACCCUUGGUCCAUUUGCACUUGAAUAGAUUUUGGUAUUCCCUGUGUACAAACAACACAUUUUACGUCAGGAUGCUUUUUUUCAAGGUAUUUAGAUGUUUUCCACAACAGGUCUUGCUGUUUGUAGAGAUUAUACUGUGAAAAACAGUAACUCAUUUUUACUCAAAGAAAAUAAUAAAACUAAACUAAUUAACAGUUUAAACCAAUUUGAAACUUUACGGCGAACGGAUUCUAUUUAGAAAAAAAAUUGCGCUUCGAAAGCUGUGUUGUCAUAGAAACACGUAGUCAAUGACAACAUAAUAAUGUUACACUAUAUUCUUUGUUGUUGAAAAAAUUGAAUCUCAGUUUAAUUAUUUUUUUCAAAACAUUUUGUUUAAUCAUUUAUGAUAAUAGUUAUCAUGGCGUCUAUGCCAUUUGCUGUGCCUAAACAUGGAGAAAAACGAAAACGAAAGUGUGAAUGUAAAACGCAUCCAUAUGCAUUGGCCCAAAAAUACAUUGCUAGACUCAAAAAAAAGCACCCGGAGCCGAAUUUUAGCCGUGUUAAUUCACUCAAAUUCCACAGGCUAUUGGACAUCGUUGUCGAAAAGUAUGGCUUCCCUAGAUGUGAUUGUUUCCACACGGAUUGGUUUUAUCUCGAUUGAUUUCAUCACAUUGAGGAAGAAAUUGAAUUUUACUCAUUUUACAUUUUCCAUAGUGAACUAAUGCAGCAUCUAAUUUCAUCAUUAGAUCAAAUCUUCACCUUCGCGUGAUUAUUAUUCUGAUUAUUAUUCAUGUCAACAUGACAUUUUAUCACAUCACAAACAUGCUAAAAUAAAAAAAUAAACAUUUGACUUUUAAUUCAUCAUACAGAGACUUAAUUACAAUAAAAUUUGUCCAAUAUAGCGGCUUUGUGCAGUAAA
Non-coding RNA from Tetranychus urticae (two-spotted spider mite), 2447 nucleotides. The record is from RefSeq and is a predicted model, not a curated record. NCBI's taxonomy places the organism in Eukaryota, Metazoa, Arthropoda, Arachnida, Trombidiformes, Tetranychidae.